RNAcentral lists this microRNA precursor (85 nucleotides) under Cajanus cajan (pigeon pea). Its description in RNAcentral is "miRNA gene-KK1_025789". Lineage: Eukaryota; Viridiplantae; Streptophyta; Magnoliopsida; Fabales; Fabaceae. The record is from RNAcentral.
UAAAAUAACCGAUCUUAAAACACUUUUAAGAUCAUUUCUUUUAUAAUCGAUCUUAAAAGUGCUACUUUUAAAAUCAGUUAUUUUA